UACGAGAGGCCCAAACGUUAUUCGGAAUUACUGGGCUUAAAGAGUUCGUAGGCGGCGCAGAAAGUAGGGUGUGAAAGCCCUCGGCCCAACCGAGGAAUUGCGCUCUAAACUACUGUGCUUGAGGAAUCUAGAGGUGAGCGGAACUGAUGGUGGAGCGGUGAAAUGCGUUGAUAUCAUCAGGAACACCGGAGGCGAAGGCGGCUCACUGGGGAUUUUCUGACGCUGAGGAACGAAAGCCAGGGGAGCGAACGGG
This 253-nucleotide ribosomal RNA is filed under the name uncultured bacterium. RNAcentral describes it as "partial 16S ribosomal RNA". It matches the Rfam family "Bacterial small subunit ribosomal RNA", at positions 524 to 776 of the family's 1533-position model. The record is from RNAcentral.